GCUGGAAGGGUGGUUUGAGUUUUGUACUUGACAAAACAGUUGGAGGUGUGGAAGUCCUUCCCAGUGUAUGAACAGGCGCUGACAAGAGAGGUGGCAGCCUCUUUGCUGCAGGAGCUCCUCAUAACACAGACGGCAGACAGCAGAAGCAGAUAGCAGGGCCGUACAGAACAAGGCUGGCCACAAGGCCUGCUCACACACACAGUGACACGGAAAUACUUGUCGCACCCACUGCAACACACUCUGACUGUCUUGUGCUUACUGCAGUAUACAGUCUAAUAUUUAAACUUCUCAUGUUUCAGGUUCCUCUGGUGGACCUGUAUCGUCCUGGAUCGCAAGUCUGAUGAACGGGUAGCGAAGAACGAAGAUUGGUCUGGGCCACCUGCUGCACCACCACCACCACCACCACCAGCAGCAGGAGCAGCAGAGGAGGGUGCUGCAAGAGAGAUGUCCGUGGACAGCCUGAGCCUUGUCGCUGUGCACUCAGGCAUGUCAGAUAUACAGGAAUUUGUUUUGCCCCAUGCGGAGCCAGCAUUCUGCUCGCUAGAGGUUGAGCAUGAGAAGUAGACUGUCUUCUCAAGCAUGGUAGCCAGGAGUGUGCCAAUUUUGGCCCCAAGGAACACCUGUUCUGCACACUCCACAAUACGGCCCUCAGGGCCAGCACUACUCAGACCUGUAGGCUGGGAAGAAGCUGGAUUUAGUCCAGAGCAGA
Molecule: long non-coding RNA, 709 nt
Organism: Schistocerca piceifrons (Central American locust)
Lineage: Eukaryota; Metazoa; Arthropoda; Insecta; Orthoptera; Acrididae
Exons: 4
Source: RefSeq, a predicted model, not a curated record